RNAcentral lists this ribosomal RNA (465 nucleotides) under Vreelandella stevensii. RNAcentral describes it as "partial 16S ribosomal RNA". It matches the Rfam family "Bacterial small subunit ribosomal RNA", at positions 338 to 795 of the family's 1533-position model. Lineage: Bacteria; Pseudomonadati; Pseudomonadota; Gammaproteobacteria; Oceanospirillales; Halomonadaceae. The record is from RNAcentral.
CCUACGGGGGGCAGCAGUGGGGAAUAUUGGACAAUGGGGGCAACCCUGAUCCAGCCAUGCCGCGUGUGUGAAGAAGGCCCUCGGGUUGGAAAGCACUUUCAGUGAGGAAGAACGCCUGGUGGUUAAUACCCAUCAGGAAAGACAUCACUCACAGAAGAAGCACCGGCUAACUCCGUGCCAGCAGCCGCGGUAAUACGGAGGGUGCGAGCGUUAAUCGGAAUUACUGGGCGUAAAGCGCGCGUAGGUGGCUUGAUAAGCCGGUUGUGAAAGCCCCGGGCUCAACCUGGGAACGGCAUCCGGAACUGUCAAGCUAGAGUGCAGGAGAGGAAGGUAGAAUUCGCGGUGUAGCGGUGAAAUGCGUAGAGAUCGGGAGGAAUACCCGUGGCGAAGGCGGCCUUCUGGACUGACACUGACACUGAGGUGCGAAAGCGUGGGUAGCAAACAGGAUUAGAUACCCCAGUAGUU